CAUAUUUAGUUUGCUGUACCAAGAGCUCAAGCUCAUCUUGUUUAUUUCCCAUGCUUUGCGCAUUAGUGUACAGACAUUGAAGUCCAUUAAUCAUUCCCCCGUGACUCUUAUUUAAGGAUUUUUUCCUCCCACCGCUAGGUCUGUGUGCUGUUUGCUCCAUUUGGUUUAUGACAUUUGGAUGAUCAUCUUCAUCAAUUGAUAGACUCCUACCUUCAGGAGCACGGUCUCCCUCCCCCACAUUAGUCAGUUUAAAGCCCUCCUGAUGAGGUUUCUGAGAUUUUUGGCAAAAACAUUCCUCCCAACCGUUGUGAGGUGCAGCCCAUCGCUUGCCAGAAGUCCAUCUUCAAGAAACUGCAGUCCGUGAUCUAAGAAUCCAAACCGUUCCUGUUUACACCAUUUGCGAAGCCAGCUGUUCACUUCCACUAUUUUCCC
This 432-nucleotide long non-coding RNA is filed under the name Podarcis lilfordi (Lilford's wall lizard). The record is from RNAcentral. Lineage: Eukaryota; Metazoa; Chordata; Lepidosauria; Squamata; Lacertidae.